Molecule: ribosomal RNA, 163 nt
Filed under: uncultured bacterium
Lineage: Bacteria
Description: partial 16S ribosomal RNA
Rfam family: Bacterial small subunit ribosomal RNA
Source: RNAcentral
UAGGGAAUCUUCCACAAUGGACGAAAGUCUGAUGGAGCAACGCCGCGUGAGUGAAGAAGGGUUUCGGCUCGUAAAGCUCUGUUGGUAGUGAAGAAAGAUAGAGGUAGUAACUUGGCCUUUAUUUGACGGUAAUUACUUAGAAAGUCACGGCUAACUACGUGCC